This 476-nucleotide ribosomal RNA is filed under the name Brachybacterium sp. BN15D1. RNAcentral describes it as "bacterial SSU rRNA". It matches the Rfam family "Bacterial small subunit ribosomal RNA", at positions 21 to 509 of the family's 1533-position model. Lineage: Bacteria; Bacillati; Actinomycetota; Actinomycetes; Micrococcales; Dermabacteraceae. The record is from RNAcentral.
UGCUCAGGAUGAACGCUGGCUGCGUGCUUAACACAUGCAAGUCGAACGAUGACGACCGGGCUUGCCUGGUCUGAUUAGUGGCGAACGGGUGAGUAACACGUGAGUAACCUGCCCCUCACUUCGGGAUAACCUCGAGAAAUUGUGGCUAAUACCGGAUAUGAACUUCCGCCGCAUGGGGGUUGUUGGAAAGUUUUUCGGUGAGGGAUGGACUCGCGGCCUAUCAGUUUGUUGGUGAGGUAAUGGCUCACCAAGACGAUGACGGGUAGCCGGCCUGAGAGGGCGACCGGCCACACUGGGACUGAGACACGGCCCAGACUCCUACGGGAGGCAGCAGUGGGGAAUAUUGCACAAUGGGCGAAAGCCUGAUGCAGCGACGCAGCGUGGGGGAUGACUGCCUUCGGGUUGUAAACCUCUUUCAGUAGGGAAGAAGCGAAAGUGACGGUACCUGCAGAAGAAGCGCCGGCUAACUACGUGCC